Molecule: long non-coding RNA, 1518 nt
Organism: Astatotilapia calliptera (eastern happy)
Lineage: Eukaryota; Metazoa; Chordata; Actinopteri; Cichliformes; Cichlidae
Source: Ensembl
GAGAAACCCCUUCAUUUCAUGUCUUGAUGCAUGCUCAAUCAUCCAGCUGGCUGCAGGUUUCCCCAAUCUUAUAAACAGUAAAUUUGCACAAUGACUGAAACUGGGCAGUGGGCUGUGAGGUCAUAACCUCACAACAUCCAACCAACUGAACUACACCGUCUACCAGAAAGAGAAGACUGAAUGAAAGUAAAUGCAAAUGGUUCACUGCAAGGUCCAAGCCACUCAUAAGACUCAAGAAUAGAAAGGCUCAAAAAAACCAAACAAACACAGUCCUGGAAAAGUAUUCUUUGAACAAGAAAAACGCAUGCAGAAGGCGUGGAACAGCUCAUGAUCCAAAGCAUACCACAACAUCUGUAAAACACGAUGGAGGCAGUGUGAUGGUUUGGGUAUGCAUAGCUGCCGUAGGCACUGGGACACUAGUGUUUAAUGAUGAUGUGACACAGGACAGAAGAAGCUGAAUUAAUUCUGUGGUCAGAGACAUACUGUCUGCUCAAAUCCAGCUAAAUACAGUCAAAUUAAAUGGGCGGUUUUUAAUAAUACAGAUUGACAAUGAACCAAAACCUACACCCAAAGCAACCCAGGAGUUUAUUCAAGCAAACAAGUGGAAUAUUCUUGAAUGGCCUGGUCAGCCACCAUAUCUUGAUCCAGCUGAGCAUUUCACUUGUUGAAGACUAAACUUCAGACAGAAAGGCCCACAGACAAACAGAAAUUGGAUGCCGCUGCAGUAGAGGCCUGGCAGAGCAUCAAAAAGCAGGAAACACAGCAUGUCCAUGAGUUCAAGACCUCAGGCUGUCAUUGCCAGCAAAGUUGGAUCACUGCAGUAAUGGAGCAUUUGAAGGCACUUUGUCUCAGGCUGCCUCCUCCUUCAUGGACCUUCUCGAUAUUUCAAACAUCUCCACUGCUGUGAAGGAUGCUGUUCACCUGUUGGUCAGCGCGUUGGACACUCUGCCAGAUGAAGUGCCGCCACUUCUGACCUGCUGCAGUCCAGACACUCUGAGAGUGCUCAACCAGUUGGUGGAUGGUCUGAAGGACGGUCGGGCCACACUGCCAGAGUCCCUGCCCGUCCCCCUGCAGGAGGGAGGGGAGCUCCGCUGGGCGGCCGAGUUCAUCUGUUUGAACGAUCAGAAGCUGAAAGAGUUGAGUGACGGCUGGGACCGGCCCGAGCUGCCCCCAGAGGUUCUGCUGGAGGUUCUGUGCCUCGCUGUGCAGGGACUCAGCCUCCUGAUGCAGCCCACAACAAACCCUUAAUGUCAGCUGCUGUGAUCUUUGUUAACCUGUUUUCACAGCAGCGUUCUGCAUCUUUGAACGUUUCUGCCAUUGUUUCCUGAACUUUCAUCUGUCAAAGAUCAAAAACAAAAAGAAUAAUCUAAUAAAAUAUAUAUAUAUUUUUAAAUAAAUAAAACUUCAUACUUUUAUGUUCGGCUCAUGGUUUUAAUAUUUUAUUAGUUUUUGCUGCACUCCUUUAUGUUCUGUCCUGUUCCCUCCUCUGUGCCCCUGACCCUGUUUCCAUGCUUGUUU